Molecule: ribosomal RNA, 529 nt
Filed under: uncultured bacterium
Lineage: Bacteria
Description: bacterial SSU rRNA
Rfam family: Bacterial small subunit ribosomal RNA
Source: RNAcentral
GGGAGGCCACAUAGGGGAUUUUUCCGCAAUGGGCGAAAGCCUGACGGAGCAACACCGCGUGAGGGAGGAAGGCCUGUAGGUUGUCAACCUCUUUUCUCAAGGAAGAAGACAGUAGCGGUACUUGAGGAAUCAGCAUCGGCUAACAGCGUGCCAGCAGCCGCGGUAAGACUGAGCAUGCAAGCGUUAUCCGUAAUUAUUGGGCGUAAAGUGCCCGCAGGUGGAUUCACAAGUAUGAUGUUAAAUUGCAGAGGUUAACUCAGUAAAGACGUUGGAAACUGUACGUCUUAAGUAUGGUAGGGGUAGAGGGAAUUUUCGGUGCAGCGGUUAAAUGUGUAGAUAUGCGGGAAGAACACCAGUGGCGAAAGCGGCCUGGUGGGCCAUAACUGACAUUGAGGGACGAAAGCUAGGGGAGCGAAAGGGAUUAAAUACCCUUGUAGUCCUACCCGUAAUCGAUGGACACUAGGUGUUGGCCGUAUCGACCCGGUGCAGCGUCGGUAGAAUAAUCGCCUUAAGUUGCCCGACUGGAUAC